This 1385-nucleotide long non-coding RNA is filed under the name Papio anubis (olive baboon). RNAcentral's name for it is "lncRNA (ENSPANG00000040758.1)". Lineage: Eukaryota; Metazoa; Chordata; Mammalia; Primates; Cercopithecidae. The record is from RNAcentral.
GUUCACAGUGGCUGCAGUAGGGUAGAAACAGGAACCCCUAAGGUCCGAUCACAGAAGAACCUCUUGACUGCCUCUACCCUGGCCAUUUCUGUGAUCAAAGCACAUUUGAGAAAAAAUUUGUCUUUUUACAUGCAACACAGCAGAAUUCCGGGUAACAGAAUCUGCUUUUCCUUAAUUAAGAGUCUGCCAGAAGUGGGAGAACAGUUAGGAACUUGAGGACAAAGAACAUGAGAAGCAGAAAUUUUGCCUUCCCAGGCAGAAAAUUAAUUAUAAAAUCAGAUUGUGUUACCAGAAUUGUUUAUAUCUGUGUUUUAAGGAAUUUGCCAUCUUCUGAAUCUAAUAGAUGGAGCAGUCAGAGCUUGACUGCUACAACAGUUUUUAAUUUGUUUGGAAAUUAGUCCAAAUAAUGAAGAAAUGCUUUUCAAUACAACAUGAAGGCAAUACAAUUGGCACAUCUUUUAAACAACAACAACACAGUUCUCAACGUUGAAUAACUAAAGAAAAGCAUCAGUCAGAAACAGGUUGCGAACUUCUGGUUUGAAGAAAUGCUACUUCUAAGGGUAUACUAAUACCUAUCAAAACUCCAUACUUGAGCACUUUCUUUGUAUCACUUUUGCCCUUCAAAAUAGACCUGAGGAUGUGGUAGGUAACUUUGUCUUCCAUUUCAGAGAGAGGAACCCCUGGCUCAGGAGAAUGGAGUCACUUGCCCAGGGUCAUCCACCUGAGCUGGUGUCCUUUGCACUCCCCAUGCUGCUUCUCUCUGGGUUUGGCAAAGGUUUUUUGUUUUUGCAAGAAACAAGUAGAACAAAGGCAGUCAAGGGUGCGAGGAUAUUGGAAGCUGUAUUCUGUGAGCGUUCAUGAAGGCUGUGGAAGGAUCCAGGCAGGAUGGCCUCAAAUUAAGAUUUUAAUGACUCUUUGGUUUAGAAAACACACUCUUAUUGUUAACACUAUCUUAUCAGGUAUCAUUUUUGAAUUCACAGAUGAAAGCUAAAAAAUUCAUAAUUACACAAAUACUUACUUGUCUUGUGUGUUUGCAUGUGUGUGUCUGUUAAGGAACAAAUGCAUAGUGCCUACAGGAAGUAAGGGCAAAAUAAUUUCAAGGACUGGGAGUUUCCGGAAUUACCUAUGGCAAAGGCAAUUGCGUGCUGCAUUUUGACAAGGUUAAAAGUAUCUACACCCAAAUGCUGACUCAAGGAGAGUACGGGCGCCACAAGACCCUGUGAGUUUCAAACGUACAUUUAAAUGUUAUUCUUUGGGGGUUAAAAUGUUUUAUUUACAAAUGAACGAGGGUUGAUUGAUCUUGAUGAAAGACAUUUAAACAGGACCUCAGCUGAUAAAAAUUUCUGGCAGUAGCCAUCAUUUGGUCAGUGUUUGAUCUUCGGUAA